This 497-nucleotide ribosomal RNA is filed under the name uncultured bacterium. RNAcentral describes it as "partial 16S ribosomal RNA". It matches the Rfam family "Bacterial small subunit ribosomal RNA", at positions 28 to 507 of the family's 1533-position model. The record is from RNAcentral.
GAUGAACGCUGGCGGCGUGCCUAAUACAUGCAAGUCGAGCGAACAGACGAGGAGCUUGCUCCUUUUACGUUAGCGGCGGACGGGUGAGUAACACGUAGGUAACCUACCUAUAAGACUGGGAUAACUUCGGGAAACCGGAGCUAAUACCGGAUAAUAUUUCGAACCGCAUGGUUCGAUAGUGAAAGAUGGCUUUGCUAUCACUUAUAGAUGGACCUGCGCCGUAUUAGCUAGUUGGUAAGGUCACGGCUUACCAAGGCAACGAUACGUAGCCGACCUGAGAGGGUGAUCGGCCACACUGGAACGGAGACACGGUCCAGACUCCUACGGGAGGCAGCAGUAGGGAAUCGUCCGCAAUGGGCGAAAGCCUGACGGAGCAACGCCGAGUGAGUGAUGAAGGUCUUCGGAUCGUAAAACUCUGUUAUUAGGGAAGAACAAACGUGUAAGUAACUGUGCACGUCUUGACGGUACCUAAUCAGAAAGCCACGGCUAACUACGUG